UGCAGCCAUAUCAUGCUGAAUGCGCCUGAAUUUCUCUGCUCUGGGAAGUUAAGCAGGGUUGGGAUCCUGGUUAGUAUUUGCCUGGAAGACCAUCUGGAAAUGUUGGAUGCUCCUCCAC
RNAcentral lists this ribosomal RNA (118 nucleotides) under Chrysemys picta bellii (western painted turtle). Lineage: Eukaryota; Metazoa; Chordata; Testudines; Emydidae. The record is from RNAcentral.